UACAGAGGGGGCAAGCGUUAUUCGGAAUUAUUGGGCGUAAAGGGCGCGUAGGCGGCCAUUCAAGUGACGGGUGAAAGCCCUCGGCUUAACCGAGGAACUGCCUGUCAGACUGGAUGGCUUGAGACCGGGAGAGGUGAGUGGAAUUCCCAGUGUAGCGGUGAAAUGCGUAGAUAUUGGGAGGAACACCAGUGGCGAAGGCGGCUCACUGGACCGGAACUGACGCUGAGGCGCGAAAGCGUGGGGAGCAAACAGG
RNAcentral lists this ribosomal RNA (253 nucleotides) under uncultured bacterium. RNAcentral describes it as "partial 16S ribosomal RNA". It matches the Rfam family "Bacterial small subunit ribosomal RNA", at positions 524 to 776 of the family's 1533-position model. The record is from RNAcentral.